UGCCCGGUCGUCCAAUGGCCAGGAUUCCUGACUUUGAUUCAGGGGGUGGAGGUUCGAAUCCUUCCCGGGCAU
This 72-nucleotide transfer RNA is filed under the name Saprospiraceae bacterium. RNAcentral describes it as "tRNA-Gln". It matches the Rfam family "tRNA". Rfam says of the family: Transfer RNA (tRNA) molecules are approximately 80 nucleotides in length. Lineage: Bacteria; Pseudomonadati; Bacteroidota; Saprospiria; Saprospirales; Saprospiraceae. The record is from RNAcentral.